Molecule: ribosomal RNA, 253 nt
Filed under: uncultured bacterium
Lineage: Bacteria
Description: partial 16S ribosomal RNA
Rfam family: Bacterial small subunit ribosomal RNA
Source: RNAcentral
UACGGGGGGGGUAAGCGUUGUUCGGAAUUACUGGGCGUAAAGGGCUCGUAGGCGGCCAACUAAGUCAUACGUGAAAUCCCUCAGCUUAACUGGGGAACUGCGUGUGAUACUGGAUGGCUUGGAUUUGGGAGAGGGAUGCGGAAUUCCAGGUGUAGCGGUGAAAUGCGUAGAUAUCUGGAGGAACACCGGUGGCGAAGGCGGCAUCCUGGACCGACAUUGACGCUGAUGAGCGAAAGCUAGGGGAGCAAACGGG